GGCUCAGUGGAUAAAGCGCUUGCCUCUCAAGCAUGAGGACCUGAGUUCUAUCCUCAG
RNAcentral lists this transfer RNA (57 nucleotides) under Mesocricetus auratus (golden hamster). It matches the Rfam family "tRNA", at positions 9 to 63 of the family's 71-position model. From Rfam's summary of the family: Transfer RNA (tRNA) molecules are approximately 80 nucleotides in length. Lineage: Eukaryota; Metazoa; Chordata; Mammalia; Rodentia; Cricetidae. The record is from Rfam by way of RNAcentral.